This is an RNA transcript of Eufriesea mexicana, 3363 nucleotides long. It is a transcript of the gene named protein phosphatase 2C, with no coding region annotated. The transcript has 8 exons. Lineage: Eukaryota; Metazoa; Arthropoda; Insecta; Hymenoptera; Apidae. The record is from RefSeq and is a predicted model, not a curated record.
UGGAGUGUGUGUGCGUCCCUCGAGCUACGCGCAGACCUGCCCAGUAAAUACGAAGCUUCCGUUCCCCUGUGCGUGUCGAAAGAGUGCGUAGUAAAGGAAGAAAAGUCUUGUCUCUUCGGCAUCCCGUAUCACCGGCGUGUCCAUCAUGCCGUUGAGUAUUGGGGUUAACUUAAGAGUGACCGGACACUGUAAUCAGGGCGGUCGUAAGUACAUGGAGGACAUGUUAAGCGUGGCCUUUCAAUCGACACCGAAUGACAAAGAUCUGGAAUAUGCCUUCUUCGGGAUAUUUGACGGCCACGGUGGCGGCGAAGCGGCUACUUUUGCCAAAGAACAUUUAAUGAAAGUUAUCGUGAAACAGAAGAAUUUCUGGAGUGAUCGUGACGAGGAUGUGCUUCGAGCUAUCAAAGACGGAUACGUGAACACGCACUAUGCGAUGUGGCGGGAGCUUGACAAAUGGCCAAGAACUGCAUCUGGAUUACCAUCUACUGCUGGGACCACAGCUAGUAUAGCUUUCAUUCGUAAAGGCAAGAUUUACUUAGGCCAUGUAGGAGAUUCUGGCAUAAUACUAGGGUACCAAGUAGAUGGUGACUCACAGUGGCAUGCUGAAGCUUUAACUAAGGAUCAUAAACCAGAAAGUGGGCCUGAAAUGAUGAGGAUACGUGAGUCUGGUGGUAAAGUUGUUAGCAAAUCUGGGGUUCCAAGAGUUGUUUGGAAUAGACCUCGUAUAGGACACAAAGGACCAGUUCGAAGAUCGACUCACAUAGAUGAAAUUCCUUUUCUUGCUGUUGCUAGAUCUUUAGGUGAUCUUUGGAGUUAUAAUUCUGAAUUGAACACAUUUGUUGUAUCUCCAGAACCAGAUGUUAAAGUAGUUGCAAUUGAUGUUGAAUCACAUCGUUGCCUUAUUUUUGGAACAGAUGGUUUAUGGAAUAUGUUAACACCUCAGGCCGCAGUAGCUAUUGUUCAAGCUGCAGAUAGACAUAAUGAGAAACAUCUUAUUGCUUCUCAACAAACAUGUAAUGGGCAAGCUGACAAUGUUCAACUAUGGAUAAACCCUUCAAAAAGUCUGGUAGAUAGAGCAUUGGAAAAAUGGUCAUCAAAACGACUACGUGCAGAUAAUACAAGCGUGAUUACAUUAAUGCUAGAUCCAACAGGUCCAUCUCGUAGUGAGGUUUUGCUCAGCCAGAAGGAAUGUGUUGUAACACAUGAUAUUAUUCAUACACCUGCACCUACAAUUGCUGAUAUUCCAGAAAAACUUAGUUGUAACCCUGGUUCUCCAAGUGUAUCAAGACCAUCCCCUAUAAUAACCCAUGAUAUUGACCUUAAAAAACCAACUAUCUCUGAUGAAGUUAAGGAGAAUAAAGAAGAAUCAAAUGUGGAAGAUACAUCACUUAUAGAAAAAAUAGAAGAAAAUCACAAUCAAAAGAAUGAAACACGAACGAAUAUCAAGGAAUCUCUUGUAGAAGAAAAUCUUCAAGUUGUAGAAACAUCAAGUAGUGAAAUAUUAGAAAAAAGUAUAGAUGUAGAUAAUGUCGAUCUUGAUACAAUAUCAACUGAAAAUGUUAAAAAACAAACAAAAACGACAAAUGAACCGCACGAUAUACUAAUUCAAGAAAAGAAUUUGGCAUCUCAACAGUCAUCUGAAACAGAAAAUGUGAUACACCAAAGUGCAGUUUCUAGUGAAUGUGAUGAUACACACACCUCCACAAUUGUUACUAGUAACGCGGAGAGCAAUGAUGUUAUGUCGGGAAGUAUUAUCUGUAGUGAAAACGAAGUAAAGACUAAUGUAUUAAAUGGAUCACGUCAUAAACAGCCCAUAUUGUUCUCCGCUUCAAAGAAGGAAGUUAGAAAUACAAGAAGGCACAGUUUGAGUGCACAUUCACGAAAUACCCUCGUGGAUGCGGGUUCGUUAGAAACGAAAACAUAUGUAAAUUGUAGGCUUAAGUCGCGUAGUACAAAAGUGUCUGUGACGGGGAAUGGAGUGGAGGAAGGUGUUUGGAACUCUGCAAAUAAAACGAGCGGUAGUGCUAUUGGUACUAAACGAAGACAUAGUGCAAUAUCACAGAGUGUAGUUAACACAGCUGAAGAAUCAUGUAUAUUACAAGAGCCAUGCAUUAAAAGGAGAACGCGUUCGGAGGAUCGUCCGAACCCGGUUGACGAGAAUGAUCCAGCGAAUCAGGCUACGAAAGAUACAAAUAAUAGUUUGGGUUGGCCUACCGUGGAAUCCAACAUUACUCGUGCUACGGCUGGUGCUAUCACUGUACCUGUACAGGAAAGACUAUCUUCGCUUAAUAGUUUCCAAAGAAAUUUGGGAAAGAAAGCUACGCCAGUGAAGGCUAUCAGAAGACCGUCUAUUAAAGGUCUGUUGAAACAAUUGUGGGCUGCUAGUCUCGGUGCAAGAGAGUGGGAUCAGGGAAGAAGUAGUCGUUCGAAUAAUUGCAACGAGCAGAGGAUAAAUCGAACUGUGUCUAUUAUAGGUUCUUCGGAUAAUACAACUGUUCCGCAACGUUGGCUCAGGUCGGAUACCAUUGCGGCGACACCUGUAAAAACACUACGUUCACGUAAUGUAGACAUAACUGGUCACACAAUAUCUGCACAAUUAGUACAUCAGUAUGGAAUAGUAAAGCAAAGUCGACUUUCAUUGCCGAGUAAAUUGAAACAGCGUAGUAAUAAUGGAUUUCUACAGUCAAGUAGAGUAAGGUCUUCUUCCUUGGCGUCCAGUAUAAAGCAAACUAACAGUAAUACUGGGAACGGAGCUUGCUCUACGAUUAGUCCUACAAAUACGGGAUGUAAUUCUAGUUCCGGAAUGGCUAAGAGAGUUAAAUCACCUUAUAACCCAAGUGCUAGAUCAUUAAGCACGCGAUCUCGUAUGAAGCGCCUUGGAAAAUGAGCUUAUCGAGGUGUUGAUUAUAGAAGAGGAAGUUCGAAAUAAAAAACUAAAUAUGUGAACAUAUGUAUAAAAUGUGUGACCACAAGAGGAGUAAAAGAGAGAAUGACUGUACCGACAAAGUGCGUAUGUGAUUUGUAGAAAUUAUUUCCAAUAAUUCCUCUAAGUGUUGCAGUCUUCUAUGAGGAAAUGACCUUAAGGGGAUUAAUAAGUCGUUAAAGAGAAAAUGUGACUUGCUUUUGCAGUAAGGUUAAAAAUUAAAAUAUACGUAGACAGUGCAAAGAAACAUAAUUAUAUCAAAGAAUGAAGAAGAGUAUGAUAUAAAGAAAAAGAAAGGAAAUAAUGACACGUGCCUACAAUAGUUACCAUUUAAAUGUGUGUGUGUAUAUAUAUAUGUAUGUAUGUAUAAAGUGUAUUAAUAUAUCAUGGGCCAAGAAGAAAACACAUUUUUCAUUAUCGUAACAGAAAUAUAAGUACCA